UAUUGGUCAAUGGCCUAACGGCUGAACUGGCAACUUGGAGAAGUGGCAAGUCUUCCAGUAUGGGGAGCAAAACAGCUAUGGGUCAAGUCCGAUAUCUUUAGGAGAAGUCUUAUUGUGAGGGCGAGUUAUAUAACACCAUAGGACUGGCCGUCCCAUAUGAAAAGAUUAUAUUAGAAUUGAAUGAAGCUUUGUUUAUAUAUUGAUAAUGACAGUAUAUAUAUCGUGUCUUGACUAAUUGCGUGCCAGCAGUCGCGGUAAUACGUAAGAGACUAGUGUUAUUCAUCUUAAUUAGGUUUAAAGGGUACCCAGACGGUCAAUAUAGCUUAUAAAAUGUUAGUACUUGACUAGAGUUUUAUGUAAGAGGGCAGUACUUGAGGAGGAGAGAUGAAAUUUCGUGAUACCAAAGGGACUCUGUAAAGGCGAAGGCAGCCCUCUAUGUAAAAACUGACGUUGAAGGACGAAGGCACAGAGAACAAACAGGAUUAGAUACCCAAGUAGUCUUUGCAGUAAAUGAUGAAUGCCAUAGGUUAGAUUGAUCAAUUAUAGUCUAGGGUUAGUCUAGCAAACUAAUGCCCUAUGAUAUAAUUCAAAAUAUCUGGUCUAUAAAUGAAAGUGUAAGCAUUUCACCUCAAGAGUAAUGUGGCAACGCAGGAACUGAAAUCACUAGACCGUUUCUGACACCAGUAGUGAAGUAUGUUAUUUAAUU
RNAcentral lists this ribosomal RNA (706 nucleotides) under Fusarium oxysporum. RNAcentral describes it as "SSU rRNA". It matches the Rfam family "Bacterial small subunit ribosomal RNA", at positions 362 to 951 of the family's 1533-position model. The record is from RNAcentral. Lineage: Eukaryota; Fungi; Ascomycota; Sordariomycetes; Hypocreales; Nectriaceae.